GUGAUUAUACCUACACUAAUGCACCGGAUCUCAUCAGAACUCCUAAGUUAAGCGUACUUGGGCGAGAGCAGUACUAGGAUGGGUGACCCCCUGGGAAGUCCUCGUGUUGCACUU
Molecule: ribosomal RNA, 114 nt
Filed under: Zingiber officinale
Lineage: Eukaryota; Viridiplantae; Streptophyta; Magnoliopsida; Zingiberales; Zingiberaceae
Source: RNAcentral